Molecule: ribosomal RNA, 251 nt
Filed under: uncultured prokaryote
Description: partial 16S rRNA
Rfam family: Bacterial small subunit ribosomal RNA
Source: RNAcentral
ACGUAGGGUGCGAGCGUUAAUCGGAAUUACUGGGCGUAAAGCGUGCGCAGGCGGUUUUGUAAGACAGAGGUGAAAUCCCCGGGCUCAACCUGGGAACUGCAUCUGAUACUGGAAAGCUUGAGUCUCGUAGAGGGGGGUAGAAUUCCAGGUGUAGCGGUGAAAUGCGUAGAGAUCUGGAGGAAUACCGGUGGCGAAGGCGGCCCCCUGGACGAAGACUGACGCUCAGGUGCGAAAGCGUGGGGAGCAAACAG